UACGUAGGGGGCAAGCGUUGUCCGGAAUCAUUGGGCGUAAAGAGCGCGUAGGCGGUCCGGUAAGUCCGCUCUGAAAGUCCGGGGCUCAACCCCGGGAGGCGGGCGGAUACUGUCGGGCUAGAGUCCGGAAGAGGCGAGUGGAAUUCCUGGUGUAGCGGUGAAAUGCGAAGAUAUCAGGAGGAACACCGAUGGCGAAGGCAGCUCGCUGGGACGGUACUGACGCUGAGGCGCGAAAGCGUGGGGAGCAAACAGG
RNAcentral lists this ribosomal RNA (253 nucleotides) under uncultured bacterium. RNAcentral describes it as "partial 16S ribosomal RNA". It matches the Rfam family "Bacterial small subunit ribosomal RNA", at positions 524 to 776 of the family's 1533-position model. The record is from RNAcentral.